Molecule: ribosomal RNA, 253 nt
Filed under: uncultured bacterium
Lineage: Bacteria
Description: partial 16S ribosomal RNA
Rfam family: Bacterial small subunit ribosomal RNA
Source: RNAcentral
UACAGAGGGCUCAAGCGUUAUUCGGAUUCAUUGGGCGUAAAGGGUGCGUAGGCGGCGCGGUAAGUCGGGUGUGAAAUCUCGGAGCUUAACUCCGAAACUGCAUUCGAUACUGCCGUGCUUGAGGACUGGAGAGGAGACUGGAAUUUACGGUGUAGCGGUGAAAUGCGUAGAUAUCGGAAGGAAGACCAGUGGCGAAGGCGGGUCUCUGGACAGUUCCUGACGCUGAGGCACGAAGGUCAGGGGAGCAAACGGG